GAUGAACGCUGGCGGCGUGCCUAACACAUGCAAGUCGAACGGAGUCCAGCCUUUAAGACCUUCGGGUCAAAGAGGGGAAGACUGAGUGGCGGACGGGUGAGUAACACGUGGGCAACCUGGCUCAUAGAGGGGGAUAACAGAGAGAAAUUUCUGCUAAUACCGCAUAAGCACACACUGCCGCAUGGCAGAGGGUGAAAAGAGAAUCGCUAUGAGAUGGACCCGCGUCUGAUUAGCCAGUUGGCAGGGUAAGAGCCUACCAAAGCGACGAUCAGUAGCCGAUCUGAGAGGAUGAACGGCCACAUUGGGACUGAGACACGGCCCAAACUCCUACGGGAGGCAGCAGUGGGGGAUAUUGCACAAUGGGGGGAACCCUGAUGCAGCGACGCCGCGUGAGUGAAGAAGUAUUUCGGCAUGUAAAGCUCUAUCAGCAGGGAAGAUAAUGACAGUACCUGAAUAAGAAGCCCCGGCUAACUACGUG
Molecule: ribosomal RNA, 478 nt
Filed under: uncultured bacterium
Lineage: Bacteria
Description: partial 16S ribosomal RNA
Rfam family: Bacterial small subunit ribosomal RNA
Source: RNAcentral